UCCCAUUGAAGGAACUUUUACAUGUCUUUCCUGCUGUCUUAGUUCCAGAGCCUGUAGAGAGGAGCCCACUGGGACUGGCUGAGGGAGAAGAGGAAAGUCUGUUCCAGAAGGAACUGCCUGAGGGAU
Artibeus jamaicensis (Jamaican fruit-eating bat) is the source of this 126-nucleotide small nucleolar RNA. RefSeq annotates it as small nucleolar RNA SNORD22. The record is from RefSeq and is a predicted model, not a curated record. Lineage: Eukaryota; Metazoa; Chordata; Mammalia; Chiroptera; Phyllostomidae. The transcript has a single exon.